Molecule: transfer RNA, 65 nt
Filed under: Penthimia melanocephala
Lineage: Eukaryota; Metazoa; Arthropoda; Insecta; Hemiptera; Cicadellidae
Description: tRNA-Leu
Source: RNAcentral
AAUGUUUUGGCAGAAUAAUGCAUUAAAUUUAGAAUUUAAAUAAGUAUAAUUAUAUACAUACAUUA